Molecule: ribosomal RNA, 594 nt
Filed under: Salmonella enterica subsp. enterica serovar Muenchen
Lineage: Bacteria; Pseudomonadati; Pseudomonadota; Gammaproteobacteria; Enterobacterales; Enterobacteriaceae
Also listed under: 3 other names
Description: partial 23S ribosomal RNA
Rfam family: Bacterial large subunit ribosomal RNA
Source: RNAcentral
GUGGGUAGUUUGACUGGGGCGGUCUCCUCCUAAAGAGUAACGGAGGAGCACGAAGGUUGGCUAAUCCUGGUCGGACAUCAGGAGGUUAGUGCAAUGGCAUAAGCCAGCUUGACUGCGAGCGUGACGGCGCGAGCAGGUGCGAAAGCAGGUCAUAGUGAUCCGGUGGUUCUGAAUGGAAGGGCCAUCGCUCAACGGAUAAAAGGUACUCCGGGGAUAACAGGCUGAUACCGCCCAAGAGUUCAUAUCGACGGCGGUGUUUGGCACCUCGAUGUCGGCUCAUCACAUCCUGGGGCUGAAGUAGGUCCCAAGGGUAUGGCUGUUCGCCAUUUAAAGUGGUACGCGAGCUGGGUUUAGAACGUCGUGAGACAGUUCGGUCCCUAUCUGCCGUGGGCGCUGGAGAACUGAGGGGGGCUGCUCCUAGUACGAGAGGACCGGAGUGGACGCAUCACUGGUGUUCGGGUUGUCAUGCCAAUGGCACUGCCCGGUAGCUAAAUGCGGAAGAGAUAAGUGCUGAAAGCAUCUAAGCACGAAACUUGCCCCGAGAUGAGUUCUCCCUGAGACUUUAGGUCUCCUGAAGGAACGUUGAAGACGACG